This 2243-nucleotide long non-coding RNA is filed under the name Xyrichtys novacula (pearly razorfish). Lineage: Eukaryota; Metazoa; Chordata; Actinopteri; Labriformes; Labridae. The record is from RNAcentral.
GUUUGGUUGUAUCUCUUUGUCAUGUCAUGGUGUCAUAUUUGCCCAAGUAAUCAUUUUAUGAGCAAAUAUGUGGCGACAUCAUGGAGGUAAAGCUCACUUAUUCCAUCAUUAAACUGCACAGCUGCAGUAAUCAGGCAGAUCUCAUUGAACAAACGAUCACCACGUGAGUGAAUGAAGGCUAAAAGUCGCGGAAAAGCUACUUUGUGAAUUUCUAAAGCAGUACAGGAAUAUAAUACAGCAGCAUCCAUCACUUGCACAACUACCAUUCAAACAGUUUAAAACUGUAACAUGACUUGGAGGGGACAGAGAGCAGACCCAAACAUUCAUCAGCUUUCUUUUUUCUAACAUUUUUAGCCAAGGUUUGUUUAUUCCAGUAGCAUAUGCUAUAUGUGUAUUUCUUAGGGACGGACGACCAGACUGAGCACUUAAUCAGGUGGCGGCUCAGCCAUGACCGCCUCUUCACUGGGCGCAGAAAUACGGCCAGGAAGGCAUUUGAGUAAGUCAAGCCAUUCAUAUGUUUCACGAUUCUUCAUACAAUACGUGUGUCUAAUUGUUACCUCACAAUACACUGUGUUUGGCCUUCAGGAGGUUCUUGCAGGACAGCCCCAGCCUCCCGCCGCACAUCACGGCUGAGAGUGCCAAAAAAAAAAAUGGGACAACCUGAAAGAUAAAUAUCGAGUAUGUUGGGCCAACAUCUGCCAUCAACAGUCAAUCCUCCUGUUAAUUAUGAAGGUUAAUCUUGAUACUCUCAUGUCCUACAGAGACUAAAGGCUCCCAAGACAGGCGUCAGCACUGAGGGUGGUGAGGAUACAGCGGCAUCCUGGCCAUGGUUCGAGCUGAAAAGACAGGAGAGGGAGGACAGAAGGGACAGGGAGGCUCGGGAGAGGGACAAGCGCUUUUUAAACAUUUUGGACCUGCUGGCCAGGAGGCAGUAAGAGUUUUGUGUUAGAGGAUUUCAGUUUGUGUAUGUUUAAUGUAGGCGAUUGUUUUAUGUUUGAGUAGGGGGCCCAACAUUUUAAAUUUUACGUUUUUUUGUUCUUAAAUGCCUCUGUUUCUGUUAUGGCACUAUGAGUUUUCCUGAAGACGAUUCGCCUCUCAUCCAAGAAGCUUGAUUUGAUUUGAUUUGAUUUUAUUUAGCACAUUUGUUAAAAGGACAAUACAAUUGUAACAAUAGAGUAAAACAUAGAAAAUAAAGUGCCAGGGAGAGGCAAAGAAGCCCACAGGGCUUAUGUGAGGCCUCUACCUAUGUAGAACAUACAAUUUUAAAAGCAUACAUUAAUAGUAGGAAAAUUUUCAAAAUAUAUAGUUGGCUUGAAAAAAUAGAUUCUGGUAACACAGAAAUACCUUAAAAGACAGAAAAAAUUAGUGGUUAAUCGGUAACCUUGUGUUGCAGCUUUUAUGAAAGGUGUUAUAUAAAUAAAGUUUGAUUUGAUUUGAUAAAUCCUUCAACCUGUUUUAGUAUACAUUCAAGGAUGACAGUUUUAAACUCUUUGACUGUUUAUCAUAGAGAGUAGUACCUUUGUAUUUUAGGGAAAACUGACCUUGACUAGUGUGGUAAAGAGGAAUGUUGUUGGUGUUUAGAAAUGUGGACGACUAUAUGUACUUGAGCGGUCUCAGACCAAUCUUUGUUACGCUUCUGUCAUGCUUCUGUUACACUUUGCUACACUUGUGGCAUGAUGAAGCUGUAACCCAGAUCUGUAACCAGUAAAGCUUGUCAAAAUGAUGAUUCGUGUGGACCUUCCAUUUUUUAAUGUGUGAACAUGGGCUAGGCAUCCUUACACUGAAGGAUAUAAAUGCUGUGUAGAUAUGAGUUAUACGUACUGGCCCAGACAAUAUUGCAAUAAGUUAGGUGAGGAUAGAUGAGACUGAAAUAUAAGGUAAGCAGAAAUUCUUGGUUAAGUAACCCACUUAUUUUUCUGAUGACACCAAAUGAUCUUGCCACUUUGUUACAAACAAGGUUUGACCUCAGGAGAGUAGUUAACCUCUGUGAGUCAUAAUAACUAAAGAAAGGAGUUUGAAGCCUACUGGCUCCAAGCCCUGGGAGGGUCGUCAACAUUUGUUGGUGUGUUGUUAGUGACUCAGGUGAGUCAAGAAUCAGUGAAACUAGUCAGGGUGAUAUAUGCUGUUAGGAAACGUGCCACACACAGCAGCAUUCUACGGCAAAACUUCUGUGGAAUAAAAUGGUUUGGUCCAAGCAAUGUGAUGUGUCAAUUGUAUCUCUGUGUUAUAAAGGUUGGUGGAGG